Chiloscyllium plagiosum (whitespotted bambooshark) is the source of this 1130-nucleotide long non-coding RNA. RefSeq lists it as uncharacterized. NCBI's taxonomy places the organism in Eukaryota, Metazoa, Chordata, Chondrichthyes, Orectolobiformes, Hemiscylliidae. The record is from RefSeq and is a predicted model, not a curated record.
ACCAUUGGGGGACAGGGAAUAGUAUAAAGCUGAGGUAUAUAUCCCUUUAAUUGGAAGAGCUAGUGAGACACAUCAAUAUAAUCUAAUGUUUUGACCUCUUUCAAGUAUGAUGUUGCAGUUAAAAAUGGGGUAUCCAGGAUUGUAUCCACAGAAGAACAUCAAGAAGAAAAAUCAAUUGCAGUCCCAAUUUCUUGGCAGGGUAUAUUGUUUGAUGGAUCCAGGAAGCAGUGGCAAGUUGGAGGGCUAUGACUUUAUGGGAUAUAUAUGGAAACCUGAUGAUCUGCAAAGCACAAAACAUGUUGCUUACAGAAAGCACCCAAAAGAAAUUUGCAGACCCGUUUGAAUGAUUUUAUGAUGCCCAGAUGUGCUUCAGAGACCAAGACUGAGUUGGCGGAUGUAACACAAUGAGGGUUUUGUGUCAGGGAUGUGUGAACAAAAUGCCCCUCUGCCAAAGGUGGUAAACAUUCCAUUUUGAGUAUGUCUUUUCAAAGGUGAAGAAGAGAACAGUUUCCAGAGGGUAUUUCACAAAGUAAAGCUGAUUGUGGCUCAAAUUUGCCAGUGUCAAUGGGGGACAUCCAGAUUCCUGUAUGGGUUACAGAAGUCCAUCCAUGAUCCCUUUUCUUCAUGACUUACAAGCCGUCUUUCAACAAUAUUAUCGGGAAGCAACGGGCUUCUUUGGGUUUGCUGAAUCUUCUUCUAUUCCUAUGUCCCUGCAAGCAGAUGAAGAAUUCUAACAGAAAACCUUUUGAAUUUCUUCAGCAAUGUCUCUAGGAGAAAGAUGGACAUUCUGGUUACGUUUUUGAAAUAUCAUCUCAGUUAAGAACCAAAAGCCUGCAAAUUACAGCAGUCAGAAUACUAAAUAUAAAUUGUGAACUGACAUUACUUAGUGUUUGUCCAAAUUUACCUACUUCUAUUUUUAAUUUGUAAUUGUGUGCGUGGAUAUUGAGUGCAUAUGUUCUAUUUUGGGUCUUGUAUUAACCAUUUAAUGUUCUUACCCAGGUUAGUUUCAGAAAAAUAUAUUGACUCCUUUCUUUGUUUAAAAACUCAAGAAAAGCUGUCUGGUUAAUCCUUUACAACCAGCAUGUAAACACAGUCAGUACAUACACUAAAUCGACAAAUCCAUCUUUUAA